RNAcentral lists this long non-coding RNA (1159 nucleotides) under Panax ginseng (ginseng). Its description in RNAcentral is "long non-coding RNA (PGIN_LNC012004)". Lineage: Eukaryota; Viridiplantae; Streptophyta; Magnoliopsida; Apiales; Araliaceae. The record is from RNAcentral.
AAGAUUAUAUAAAUAAUGCUCAUAGAUAUAGUCAACAAGUGGAUGCGCACAACCAUAUCUUACGAUAACACGAAUUUGUAUAUGGUUAGAUAUCGUGUAUGAUAGUGGCAACACACCCUUUAAGUUCUUAGUACAAUUAUGUCCACCUCAUUUUAAUGGGGUGUAUUUUUAACGCUUCUAAAGUCGGGUUCUCAUCCCCCUAUUGUUGUUCACCAAAAAACAAUUAUUAAAUAACGUAUAAAAUACGGCACACAUAUUUUAAGUCCUCAAUACAAUUAUAUAUUGUCAUGCUAUUUUAUAAUGUAUUGAAAAACUUCAACAGUCACAGACCAUCACUCUAUUCCCCUGUUAUCCCCGCUCGACCCAGCUACACUCUUAUUACUUGAAAGUAAUUGUGAAGUAAAAGGGUGAGUACAAAUAACUAGUAAAGAAUAUUAUGACUAAAAAUAAUUAAAUUAUCAAUAACCUUCAUCAGUUAUAAAUCAGAUAUUUAGAACAUGUGGUAGAUGAUAAAAGUUUUCAACCAUAAUUGCAGCGGAAUCAACAAUCCAUUAGAAGAGUCAAGUAGAACAUAAUGUCUACUAUCUCCUCCAAAUUAAAUUUUCAUCAUUAAAUUUUCAUUCCUAUAAUACCCAUCAACAGUUUUUUGUUGUACCCAAAAUAAAGAGAACUUUAAUCACUUGUCUUCACCUGAACCACCAAAGAUUAUAGUUCAAUUCACAAUUCAUGUUUAUAAUCAUGUAAAUCAACAGUUUCUCCUUGCCACAAAGGCUUAAUAGAACGUUCACUCAAUAUUUGUGAGAGCCCCAAAUCACCACGGAUCUGGUACAAUCAUUCUAUAACUAUUGCGGAAGAUAUAAACAUAAAUUGUUUAUACAACAUACUUUACACACUUUUCCCCAAGGUCGAGUAACCUUCACUUAAUAUACAAUUCAUAACUUGUCUAACACAUAACAUUAUUAUCAUACUAUACUAUUACAAUUCUAACUGCACACGUAUACUAAAACUAGAACUGUCUUUGACCUUUCCUUGUAUCCGACGUAUUCAUCUUAAUCUGCAAUGUUUAUCAUGAUAUAGCAAGGGUGAGCAUAAGUUUGCCCAACAAGUAUAAGUUUAUUUAAGGAUAUACCAUGAUUGAAAGAAUUUGAAUAAUAAGCUG